Molecule: long non-coding RNA, 252 nt
Filed under: Nicotiana benthamiana
Lineage: Eukaryota; Viridiplantae; Streptophyta; Magnoliopsida; Solanales; Solanaceae
Description: long non-coding RNA (NBEN_LNC023245)
Source: RNAcentral
AUAUGUCUAGUAAGCGUCCCAGUCCCCCUAAAUUACCUCCGGUCAAACGUUUAAAAGUUUCAUUACAAAGUUUGCACUUAACUCUAUCAGUACCUUCUAUUAUUUCAAAAACACUUAAAUCUAUCAGUACCUUCUAUUAUUUCAAAAAAUUUCCAAACCGGACUUCUUUUUUUACGAGUAGAAGUUGGAGUAACUGGUGGUCUUCUACCCCUUGUAGCACUAGCAACUCCAACUCCAAUACUACCAACAUUU